RNAcentral lists this long non-coding RNA (158 nucleotides) under Bos indicus x Bos taurus (hybrid cattle). Its description in RNAcentral is "lncRNA (ENSBIXG00005005302.1)". Lineage: Eukaryota; Metazoa; Chordata; Mammalia; Artiodactyla; Bovidae. The record is from RNAcentral.
UGAGUCGCUUUGAGCCACCCAGCAGGCUCACUUGGCAGGUAAACACUUUGGUGGCUGAGGACCCAGCCUGGUGACAGCCCCCCUUCCUGCCACCUGCCAGGAUCAGGUUGGACAAGAAGAGAGGGAACAGCAGCCUGGCAGAUGCUGCCACGUGGUAU